RNAcentral lists this unclassified non-coding RNA (652 nucleotides) under Hevea brasiliensis (rubber tree). The record is from RNAcentral. Lineage: Eukaryota; Viridiplantae; Streptophyta; Magnoliopsida; Malpighiales; Euphorbiaceae.
AAGAAAAUAUAGUUCCUAGUAUUUUGACUUAUAAUACUGUUAUUAACUCUUGUGCUCGAGGUGGAUAUGAAUGGGAGGGUUUAUUAGGUCUGUUUGCUGAAAUGCGACACGAGGGUAUUCAACCGGAUUUAGUUACGUACAAUACUUUGCUUAGUGCUUGUUCAAGUAGAGAAUUAGAAGAUGAGGCAGAGAUGGUUUUUAGGACAAUGAAUGAGGCUGGGGUUUUGCCUGAUGUAACUACUUACAGUUAUUUGGUGGAGACUUUUGGGAAACUGGGGAAAUUGGAAAAGGUCUCGGAAUUGCUCAUGGAAAUGGAGGCUGGAGGUACGUCGCCCGAGGUUACCUCGUAUAAUGUCUUAUUGGAGGCUUAUGCGCAUUUGGGGUCUAUGAAAGAGGCUAUGGAUGUGUUUAGGCAAAUGCAGGCAGCUGGAUGUGUGGCUAAUGCAGAGACUUAUAGUAUUCUGUUGAAUUUAUAUGGGAAAAAUGGGAGAUAUGAUCAGGUUAGGGAGCUUUUCCUUGAGAUGAAAACGAGUAAUACAGAGCCAGAUGCGGAUACAUACAAUAUUCUCAUCCAGGUAUUUGGUGAAGGUGGUUACUUUAAGGAGGUGGUAACAUUGUUCCAUGACAUGGUUGAAGAGAAGGUAGAACCAAA